Molecule: non-coding RNA, 140 nt
Organism: Octopus bimaculoides (California two-spot octopus)
Lineage: Eukaryota; Metazoa; Mollusca; Cephalopoda; Octopoda; Octopodidae
Source: Rfam
AUUGUUGUCAAGAGGCAGUACCAUGGCCAAUGAGGUAAAUCCAAGGCGUGGUUAUUGCUAGUUGAAAAUCAUUAUUAUUAUUUUCAUUGUUGUUGAUGUUGCUGCUGCUGCUGUAGUUGUUGUUGUUGUGUCUAGCCUCA